GAGACGACUUACUAUAACGUUUUUCAGGCCACACGUCCUACCGUUGAUUUUUUGAUAAGGAAUCCCUAAUUAUUUAUUUUAUGCGUAUGUUUAAUUUUAUUUUUCUUUUUCAUUUGUUUAAAUUUUUACAAGAGGAUGUACACUAAAAUGCAUAAUUACUCUCCCCAGGAAAUCUGUAUAAUGGAAUUACAUAAAUGCAGGGAGAAUUAUCCAUAA
This 216-nucleotide unclassified non-coding RNA is filed under the name Hevea brasiliensis (rubber tree). Lineage: Eukaryota; Viridiplantae; Streptophyta; Magnoliopsida; Malpighiales; Euphorbiaceae. The record is from RNAcentral.